GCCUGGAAUCGUGACAUGGGUUUUCAGGAAGUCCUGAUGAAUGAUGGUUUGAAGUUCCUGGAGGAUGCUGGAGCUGAACCUGCCGGUGAAGGUCCCACAUCCAGGACUGAGGCUCUGGGAGAUGCUGAGGGUGUGUCUGUGGGGAGGACUUCACCAACUCCAGGGCUGGAUGCUUGGCCCCAACCCAGCUCCCAUCACAGGGGUCCUCCGACAGGAGAAACCAAAGACAUGGCAGGCAAGAAAUUCCAGGACCCAUUAGUAAUCAUGUGGCAAAUGCUGAAGGAACGUCUGCAGAGAAGACAAGAAAUCAAAGGAGAGCCUGUGCAGAAGGAAGCAUUUCCCGCAGGAAGCAGUGGUUCCGUGCCAGCCUCUGCUGCAGGAAGGGAGGCCAUGCCAGGCACAGACACAGGA
Long non-coding RNA from Passer domesticus (house sparrow), 411 nucleotides. RefSeq lists it as uncharacterized. NCBI's taxonomy places the organism in Eukaryota, Metazoa, Chordata, Aves, Passeriformes, Passeridae. The record is from RefSeq and is a predicted model, not a curated record. The transcript has 5 exons.